UCUUUCAGCGAGCGUCGCUUCACCAACUCUUCGAUCAACAGCGAGAGGCGCCGGUACUGGGGUGGCUCGGAGCCCCGCUCCUCUGUCACUUCGCAGGUGUCCCAAGUACAGAAUUAUCGUCGUGAAACGAGCCAAUCCAAGGCAGGAGUGGUCAUUACGUCGUUCCGUCAGUCUCACAGGAGCUUUGGAAAAGACCCGUUGUGGUGAGUGGUUGAGAGGUAACUCGUAGAUUGCAGGCUUUUAGAGCGGCCGUAGAGGACGACUGAAAUUACGCUUCUUUAGAAUUUUUAGAAUUUUGCCCUUUUUAAGAUUUUUUAUGUAUGGUCCUCGAUUGAUGUAGUACACAGGGCACACCGAACUACACUUUGAACAGAACUCACCACACGUUUUACUUUUGACUUUUAAUCUGCUUAUACUCAGCCACUAUCACAUCGACAGCAAUUCAGUCUACAUUAGCUUCCAUUCAUACUUGUUCUUUAUCAAACUUAUGUUAACUUUUCCUACAUGGUCUUCAGUCACAACUGUCACAAGCCUCACGCCAUCAAAAUCAGAAAACAGGAACUAACACAAUUCGGACAUUUGAGCAGUACGUCAACGGCAGCGGUUGCAUUUGCUGUAGCCACGUCGGCAUCCUCGAACCCUCGGUCGCCACCCACCACGUCACCUCCGCAGACUAGACGAGACUCUGUUAUAUCUACUGCGGCUACUAUGCGAGUGUUGAAUGUGCUGAGGUGAGCACUUUA
Cydia strobilella is the source of this 743-nucleotide long non-coding RNA. RefSeq lists it as uncharacterized. The record is from RefSeq and is a predicted model, not a curated record. Lineage: Eukaryota; Metazoa; Arthropoda; Insecta; Lepidoptera; Tortricidae. The transcript is spliced from 4 exons.